GGGAGCUGAGCCAGCGCCUCUCGAGAUUAGCGGCGAUGGUGAUAAGAUUGCGCCGAAACAGAAAAUAAGAAUCAAGCUGAGGUCAUACUGGGUGUCCCUGAUGGAGGAUUCAUGCAAGCAGAUCAUGGAUGCCGCCCGCAACACCAACGCCAAGACCAUGGGCCCUGUACCCCUGCCCACCAAGAAGCGAAUCUACUGUGUUCUCAAAUCGCCUCAUGUACACAAAGAUGCCCGUUUCCACUUUGAGAUUCGGACCCAUCAGCGCCUGAUCGACAUCCUGUACCCUACUGCUCAGACAAUAGACUCCCUGAUGCAACUCGACCUCCCAGCCGGGGUUGACGUGGAGGUCAAGCUCUGAUUUCAAGCACCGUCCAAUUCUCUGAUAUAAUGUUCGUCUCUUGAAGUAGCAGUGCAAGUCAGGUAGGAGGCUGACAAUUUCG
Molecule: unclassified non-coding RNA, 440 nt
Filed under: Hevea brasiliensis (rubber tree)
Lineage: Eukaryota; Viridiplantae; Streptophyta; Magnoliopsida; Malpighiales; Euphorbiaceae
Source: RNAcentral